AGAGUUUGAUCAUGGCUCAGAAUGAACGCUGGCGGCGUGCCUAACACAUGCAAGUCGGAUGUGCCGCAAGGUGCAUGGCAGACGGGUGAGUAACGCGUGGGGAACCUACCUCUUUGUGGGGAAUAACGUUCCGAAAGGAAUGGUAAUACCGCAUGAGACCGAUGGCUGGGAUGCUGUCGGUGAAACCCGGGGACCGCAAGGCCUGGGGCAAGGAGAGGGUCCUGCGUCUGAUUAGCUAGUUGGUGAGGUAACGGCCCACCAAGGCAUCGAUCAGUAGCCGGCCUGAGAGGGUGAUCGGCCACACUGGAACUGAGACACGGUCCAGACUCCUACGGGAGGCAGCAGUGGGGAAUUUUGCGCAAUGGGCGAAAGCCUGACGCAGCAACGCCGCGUGGGUGAUGAAGGUCUUCGGAUCGUAAAACCCUGUCGUCAGGGACGAAGGUUGUAUGCCUAACAGGUGUGCAGCUUGACGGUACCUGGAGAGGAAGCCCCGGCUAACUCUGUGCCAGCAGCCGCGGUAAUACAGAGGGGGCAGGCGUUAUUCGGAAUUAUUGGGCGUAAAGGGCGCGUA
Molecule: ribosomal RNA, 571 nt
Filed under: uncultured bacterium
Lineage: Bacteria
Description: bacterial SSU rRNA
Rfam family: Bacterial small subunit ribosomal RNA
Source: RNAcentral